AUACGGAGGGUGCAAGCGUUAUUCGGAAUCACUGGGCGUAAAGGACGCGUAGGCGGGUUGGCAAGUCAGAUGUGAAAUCCUACAGCUUAACUGUAGAACUGCAUUUGAAACUGCUAACCUAGAGUAUGGGAGGGGGAGAUGGGAUUAGUGGUGUAGGGGUAAAAUCCGUAGAUAUCACUAGGAAUACCGAAAGCGAAGGCGAUCUCCUGGAACAUAACUGACGCUGAGGCGCGAAAGCGUGGGGAGCAAACAGGAUUAGAAACCCUAGUAGUCC
Molecule: ribosomal RNA, 274 nt
Filed under: uncultured bacterium
Lineage: Bacteria
Description: partial 16S ribosomal RNA
Rfam family: Bacterial small subunit ribosomal RNA
Source: RNAcentral